GAUGAACGCUGGCGGCGUGCUUAACACAUGCAAGUCGAACGGGAAUUACUUUAUUGAAACUUCGGUCGAUUUAAUUUAAUUCUAGUGGCGGACGGGUGAGUAACGCGUGGGUAACCUGCCUUAUACAGGGGGAUAACAGUCAGAAAUGGCUGCUAAUACCGCAUAAGCGCACAGAGCUGCAUGGCUCAGUGUGAAAAACUCUGGUGGUAUAAGAUGGACCCGCGUUGGAUUAGCUUGUUGGUGGGGUAACGGCCUACCAAGGCGACGAUCCAUAGCCGGCCUGAGAGGGUGAACGGCCACAUUGGGACUGAGACACGGCCCAGACUCCUACGGGAGGCAGCAGUGGGGAAUAUUGCACAAUGGGGGAAACCCUGAUGCAGCGACGCCGCGUGAAGGAAGAAGUAUUUCGGUAUGUAAACUUCUAUCAGCAGGGAAGAUAGUGACGGUACCUGAUUAAGAAGCCCCGGCUAACUACGUGCCAGCAGCCGCGGUAAUACGUAGGGGGCAAGCGUUAUCCGGAUUUACUGGGUGUAAAGGGAGCGUAGACGGUGUGGCAAGUCUGAUGUGAAAGGCAUGGGCUCAACCUGUGGACUGCAUUGGAAACUGUCAUACUUGAGUGCCGGAGGGGUAAGCGGAAUUCCUAGUGUAGCGGUGAAAUGCGUAGAUAUUAGGAGGAACACCAGUGGCGAAGGCGGCUUACUGGACGGUAACUGACGUUGAGGCUCGAAAGCGUGGGGAGCAAACAAGAUUAGAUACCCUGGUAGUCCACGCCGUAAACG
This 779-nucleotide ribosomal RNA is filed under the name uncultured bacterium. RNAcentral describes it as "bacterial SSU rRNA". It matches the Rfam family "Bacterial small subunit ribosomal RNA", at positions 28 to 808 of the family's 1533-position model. The record is from RNAcentral.